UGCAAUGUGAUAGCUGAUUCCUGGU
RNAcentral lists this non-coding RNA (25 nucleotides) under Mus musculus (house mouse). Lineage: Eukaryota; Metazoa; Chordata; Mammalia; Rodentia; Muridae. The record is from RNAcentral.